Long non-coding RNA from Canis lupus familiaris (dog), 740 nucleotides. RefSeq lists it as uncharacterized. The record is from RefSeq and is a predicted model, not a curated record. The transcript has 2 exons. NCBI's taxonomy places the organism in Eukaryota, Metazoa, Chordata, Mammalia, Carnivora, Canidae.
CUCGGGGCGCUGGGGCCGCGGCGCUUCCUGGGCGCGGAAGUGAAGCUGCGGUUUGCGGAGCGACCCAGAGCUACCUUAGAACGAGCGAUGUCGCCCAGAAUCUGCCCGAAGGCCUCAGACGUCCACCCUGGUGCAGCUAGCAGUUUCCUGGAAUUUUACAGAAAUUUCGUUCUCCGAAACACCCGAGAUUUUGGUUUUCAAAAAUAAUUCAGGAAUGCAGAUCCUCCCUCUCCUUGCACGCGGUGCUUGGGAGCUCAAGUCCAACGGCACUGAAAGAGGACUUGCCAGUCCUCCCCCCCCAGUUCAGCGGGAGGUCGGGGAGGUGGUUAGAGACCACACCUUCCCUCGAGGCGGUACCUUAGAGACCGAGGCUCUUGAGUGGCAAUCUCUGUGUUACCACCUCGUGCUUCCAAAAAGAUGACCCAAAACAAACAAACAAACAAAAAAAAAAGAUGACCCGAGGCCAGAGUCAGGGAAGAGAGCAUGGAGAAAGUAGGUGAGCUUUACCCUGAAGAAGCCCUAAGAUGGUCUGUGGCCACCAUCUCCCUAGCUCCCAGCGCUGCCAGUACUCUUCUGGGACUUGAGAUUGUCUUCAAAAAAAGAAAACAAACAAAAAAACCCUGCCAUUUAGCAGGAAGAGAAAUCCUGUCUUUGUGAUAUAUAUUGAAAAUGAAAAAAAAAAAAAAUGAAGCUCCCCAAUUCCAAUAAGUUAACAUUUGUGACCUCACUGUGUGCCAAAA